Molecule: transfer RNA, 72 nt
Filed under: Methanosarcinales archaeon
Lineage: Archaea; Methanobacteriati; Methanobacteriota; Methanomicrobia; Methanosarcinales
Description: tRNA-Thr
Rfam family: tRNA
About the family: Transfer RNA (tRNA) molecules are approximately 80 nucleotides in length.
Source: RNAcentral
GCCUCAAUGGCUUAGAGGUAUAGCACUUCCUUGGUAAGGAAGAGGCCGCGGGUUCAAAUCCCGCUUGAGGCU